AAAACCGUGGGAGGUUGGGCCGCUAGAACCCUACACUCGGUAAUGAUCUUCCCGUAUGGGGUACCUGCGGAAGGAUCAUUACCGAGUGUAGGGUUCCUAGCGAGCCCAACCUCCCACCCGUGUUUACUGUACCUUAGUUGCUUCGGCGGGCCCGCCAUUCAUGGCCGCCGGGGGCUCUCAGCCCCGGGCCCGCGCCCGCCGGAGACACCACGAACUCUGUCUGAUCUAGUGAAGUCUGAGUUGAUUGUAUCGCAAUCAGUUAAAACUUUCAACAAUGGAUCUCUUGGUUCCGGCAUCGAUGAAGAACGCAGCGAAAUGCGAUAACUAGUGUGAAUUGCAGAAUUCCGUGAAUCAUCGAGUCUUUGAACGCACAUUGCGCCCCCUGGUAUUCCGGGGGGCAUGCCUGUCCGAGCGUCAUUGCUGCCCAUCAAGCACGGCUUGUGUGUUGGGUCGUCGUCCCCUCUCCGGGGGGGACGGGCCCCAAAGGCAGCGGCGGCACCGCGUCCGAUCCUCGAGCGUAUGGGGCUUUGUCACCCGCUCUGUAGGCCCGGCCGGCGCUUGCCGAACGCAAAUCAAUCUUUUCCAGGUUGACCUCGGAUCAGGUAGGGAUACCCGCUGAACUUAAGCAUAUC
Molecule: ribosomal RNA, 632 nt
Filed under: Aspergillus sp.
Lineage: Eukaryota; Fungi; Ascomycota; Eurotiomycetes; Eurotiales; Aspergillaceae
Description: eukaryotic LSU rRNA
Rfam family: 5.8S ribosomal RNA (bases 264-417)
Source: RNAcentral